This 244-nucleotide unclassified non-coding RNA is filed under the name plant metagenome. RNAcentral describes it as "partial contains small subunit ribosomal RNA, internal transcribed spacer 1, and 5.8S ribosomal RNA". The stretch from base 1 to 54 matches the Rfam family "Eukaryotic small subunit ribosomal RNA", at positions 1778 to 1831 of the family's 1831-position model. The record is from RNAcentral.
GGCAGUAAAAGUCGUAACAAGGUCUCCGUAGGUGAACCUGCGGAGGGAUCAUUACAGAGUUCAUGCCCUCACGGGUAGAUCUCCCACCCUGUGUUAUUAUACUUUGUUGCUUUGGCAGGCCGCCCGCGUGGGCUACCGGCUCCAGCUGGUAAGUGCCUGCCAGAGGACCCCAAACUCUGAAUAUUUUAUUGUCUGAGUACUAUAUAAUAGUUUAAAACUUUCAACAACGGAUCCCUUGGUUCUG